ACAACUUCCUCAAAUACAAAAACACAGAGCGAUCAGCUGACAGUGAGUGCAGUACUAGUUUAGACAUGUUGAUUUGUCUCUUAAAGUCCAUAUAACACCGGUGACUAAAACUAAAACUGAGGAAUGUUAACAGGAAGUGGAAGAAACUGCUCGUAUCUGGAAGUUCUCAGAAGUGAGUGGAAGAAGUCGUCUCGACACCACAACACAAAGUGAAACAUGGGCAGUGAGUACAAACCACUGUCUUCUGCAGAGUCAUGCAGAACUUUAUUCAUAGAGAAGUCAGAGUGCUUUAUAUGCAGGGACGUUGAACUUCAAGCCAGUGACCCACUGAGGAAUUUCUGUGACUGCAAGAAUUUACUUGCUCAUCACGUGUGUCUGUCCACGUGGAUCCAGAAGGGAUGUGGGAGUGAAGACAGGCUGCACUGCAUUAUCUGCAAAGCCAAGUACCAUCUCCAGAGGAGUUCUCCAUGGUGGGCUGUGAGCUUCCAGUGGCAAACAUGGCUUGUGCUGAUCACUGCGUUGGUUUUGAUGAGUCUGGUACCUUACGUUGUUUAUUGCAUGAUGACCACCUUCACCAAGCCCCCUCCGCCCAGCACCUUUAAAGUGGCAGCUGCCUCUUUUGGUCUGCUGACAGAGAUCCUGCUGAUCAAGUGUCUGUCCAGCUUCCUGAGCAGUCGUUACAGGCAGGCGGAGCAGAGAUCCUUCACAGUGCGGGCCAGAGGCUUUGACGAGGACAGAACGAGCCCGGGCCGCUGGGAUCGGUCUGAGGCCUCAUCAGUGGCUGGUCACGCUUCAACAACAGCCUCACCCAGUCAAGUGGACGAGAGGAAAGUGGAUAUGUUGAAGAGUGGAGGUCUUGGCCUUUAUUGAACCACUAACAGAAGGAGUUUACAGAAUACAGGGUGUGAGUGAAGCCUAUGAGUAUUAGUCAUUCAAGAUAUCACAUCAGUUUAUCAUCUUUAUGAGAUCAUACACUUUAAAACCUAUUUUCCAAAUAUCCUUGUUUUCCUAUAUCUCCCACCCUUACACUCUUCAUUCAGUAUAUACAGUACAUACUGAAUGUGUGGUGGUGAUGACCUAGUGGUCUAGUGGUACGGCUUCCAAAUACAACACCAGAUGGUUGUGAGUUCAAUAUCCGGGCUGCCACCAGUGUACCCCUGAGCAAGGCACUUAACCCUGAGUUGCUCCAGGGAGACUGUCCCUGUAGUUAGUUCACUGUAAGUCGCUCUGGAUACAGAUAAUUGACCUGUAAUGUAAAAAAGUAUAUUCAGUAUAUUCUCACAUAUUGCAAAAUGAUUAUAAGGAAGCUAAUAUACGCAGCUUUCAUGAGUGUGUUCAGGCUCAGGAAGGAAAAGAAAAGCCUUGAAUCACUCUCUUUCCUUAAUAAUGUCCGCACAGAGACAAUGGGGCACCGCUCUGAUUAGUGUCACCUGUCCUUGUGCAUCUCAUCAGCUCCAUUAUGGCUCCAUCUCCCAUGCUUCUUCUGCUAAUUGAAUAGCCUGUGAAGUGGUGACGAGGACGGGGGCGAGAGCAACGUCUGUCCCACUGCUGCUUCACAAAUGAGAGUGAAGCUUCCCAGUGAGACCCUACUGAGGUUCUUAAAACAUAAACCAUUAUCAUACAGAUGGAAAAGAUGCUAACAAGUAGUCCUCAUGUUAUAUUACCGUCAUAUCGUCUACGGAUUAUGUUACAUACAACAGCUUUCAAUUAACAUCCACUGUAUGUUUUGAUAGGGAUGCAAUGCUGCACUGCACCUUUCUUUAGUGUAUCACACAGAGUUCAUAUUGGACAGAGCAGUAAGACAAUCACUGAUGAUACCUAGAGUGGUUAAGAAAAUUGAUAUCUGUCCAUUAAAUAUUCUCCUGUAGCUGGUUGUCUUAGCUUAGUUUAGCACAAAGACUGGAAACAGGGGGGAAAUAGCCUGGCUUUUAAAUGGUAACAAAAUCCAACUACCAGGACCUCCUAAUCUCACAAAUGAACAUGUUAUAACGUGUUUGUUUAAUCCGCACCAAAACCAAAGCGUGAAAAAGGCAAUUCACAUAUUUUCGGGGGGUUAUGUGCUGACAAUUUCCCAAAUUGUCAAACUAUUCCUUAAGAUUUUGAAAACUAAAACAUUUUUAUUAUCAACAAAUGCCAUGAAAAGAUGAUGGUUGGAUUAAUUCCACCGGCACGACUCUGCUGCUGACCCUGUGCUCACUGUUUGCUUGUUUGUCUGCGUUUGUAUCUUUUGUGGUUCUUGUUUCAUGUGGAGAAUUAUUCAUUGUGAGCGACGUUUUGACACAGAAUCACAAUGAAUUUAGUGCAACAGUGGAUUAUUAUUUGCCUUACGGCAUCCCUGCUGCUUGGAAAGUCUUGUUGGACAAGUCAGCGUGUCUUCCUGGCCUUCAUACUUGUCUCUUCACUCACGCAUCGCUGAUGUUUCAGGCCUAAAUUAAUCUAAGAGGCUAUACAACAGUCAGAGUAGACAUACAUGAUCGGACAAUAACUGGGAUAAACAGUGCACAGUUUGAGAAAAUCAUUCUUAUUCUCACUUAUGUUCCUGGUCCAAAUAACGAUGCUGCAGCAGAGAGGUUAUUGUUACAAUGACACCUUCUCUCGCUCUGCAGAUCAAACUGUUUUAAAGAGAUUUUAAUCCAUGUGGUUUAUCUGGGUAUUGACCAACCCUCCAUAAUAUAUGGACCGUCCCACUCGCUUUACCCGCACUCUUGACUCUUUACUUUAGGAGCAUCCCAGAUGGCGAUGAGGCUGGGCGAUCGUACACAGUGUUAGUCACCAUUUGCUGACACAAGUGACACGAAUGACACCCGUCACCAAAGUAGUUUGUAGUUAAGUGUGGUCUGAGGAAUAUAAAGAGGAACCGAGUGGCUGUCUAGGGAACAUUGUAUGGGACAUUUUCUUUAUAUCUUGCAUAGAUUAGAUUAGAGGAAACAGUGUCUGUGAUUUACUUUUUCAUUUCAUCUAUAGAGUCUAAUGUGUGUUAGGCAAAGACUGAGAAUCUUCCAAAACAACAAGUCCUGGCUUUCAAAAGAACUAAAAGGAAGUCUUAAUGGAAAGAAAAUGGUCUUCUGCAGUGGUGACAGUGAAUUAUCUGAGAAAAAGAGACAACUCAGAGAAAAAUAAGAUUGAAAUGACAAUGGAUAACAUGAGAAGCACAGGAAGGCGUAAAUGAAGGGGGGGGGGGAAGAAUGCUCUGUCAGCAACAGUCAGUUCUUUACUAAUGAUAAUAAAUGUUUAUUACAGUAGAUUCGCUCGUGCAAAGAUGAAAAUAGGCUCCUGGCCCAGACGGACUACAGGCACAGGUCCUGAAAGAUCCAAAUAAAAGGAUACUUUACAAGGUUAUCCCAGUCACGCACAGUGCCCUGAUCAGGCAAGAUCUCAAUCAUUAGCUCUGUGUCCAACACGGCAAAAGAAAGAAUGCUAAAUGAUGUUCAACCACUUGCCAUCACUUCUGUCCUUUGUAAAACCAUGGAGAGGGUUCUAGCUAGUCAUUUAACAUCCUCCUUGGUACACAUGAUGCACGUUUAAUAUGCUAUGUUUAAUAUGUAAGAAUUUUAUUUGUGGGUUUUUGUUCGGUCAUAGAUUUUGGGGUUAAUGGUGACGUUAUUUUGUGGAUAAAAGAUUUUCUCUCUAACCAAGCACUGCGAGUCUCCUUCUGUGGAACAACGUUCGACUUGCUCCUCACGGAUGUGUUUCUUCUGCUGUUCCCAACUGAAUUCAAGAUGAAAGAGCAGAGGGGGUUUUAAGUAUGCAGAUGACAUAGCCUUAGUUGGCCUUCGUGAAGUGAACCUGAGUGUUUGGCCCGAACACACUCGCUUCAGACUUGGUGCGAAAGAAACAAUUUAGAAAUCAAUGUUGAUGGGACUAAAGAUUGUUUGUGACAAGCAGGAUUUCACUUCAAAGCCAAAUGUAUUUGACAUGUUGACAGUCCUGGAUGACCAAUUGAGUUUUAAAUGCAUCAGGACAAGAGAUAUAAAGCCCUAAAAUGUCUUAAUACCAAAUUUAGAGCAUUAAUAUAGCAGUAAACAACUAUUGUUUGAGAAUGAAGUCACUCUCCAUCUGUGUGUGUUGUUAUUCGAUCUACUCUGUGCUUUGUUUACAAAGCCAGGUCGGCCAUGCGAGUCCUUGUUUGUGUGCUCAGCUGACUAGCUAAUAAUCGCCGCUCUGCACUGCACUGCACUGCGCUCAAACGGCAGUUAGCACUGAUAACGGAAAUGUAAGGGCCACCCUCAGGUUAACUGUUAGCUCUGUCAGCACUGUUGUAGCUGUUAGCACCAUUAGCUAGCACCAUCUGUUCUGAGUUUGAAGCCUUUCAGUCUGCUUAAAGUGUGUCGGGGAGUUGCUAAGGGGUGCCUUUGACAACCAAAAAUAGUUUUAAGAAGUCUUCUAUUCCAAGUGCAAUCAGCAUUUUAAAGUUUAAAAAAAUGACGAGCUACAAAUCUUGCUCUACAGUAUUUUGUUUUAAGCUUUGUUUUAGGUAUUUUAUCUGUACCCUUCAAUGUGUGCACUGUAGUGUAAGCUGUUAUUUCUCUCAGUGGUAUCUUGUUGCCACACUUGUUCUAUAUGUUACUUGUUUUAUGUUACUGUUCUCGUGCUGCUUUUAUGUUUUGAUGAGCCACAGACAAUGUUGCACUCCGGUGGAACACACACUUGUAUUCUACUCUAUUCCAAAUGAACAAAAUCCAAAACCUUCAACUACCUUGUCUGUAACUCUCAGCACCAAACCCACUGGUACUGAAGAGAGUGUAGUUUUUUUUAAAUAAAAAACGUUUGAUAAGACUAAUCUCCCAAAACAGCUGGCCACUGUAGUUUUUAGCAAACAUUACUCUUAAUCGCUUUUUCUUUCUUUGGGACUAUUUUCAACGGCGGAUUAAUCCCCAUUUGGUGCACUAGUGAGUAUCUGGGGCAGCAGGAGGUUCAUGAAGGAUUGAGUCAACAUAAACUGCAGUCUGUGUGUUCCUACUAAUGAAGGAACAUGUCAACAGUGUGUUUUUAAUAGUGUUUGGACAACAAGAGGAACUGAGAAACCAACACUUUUGAGUAGCGUCACUUCACUGUUGGUUUCGGCCUCCUCAUGGGAUUUGUUGAACAACAGCCCUAUCUUUUAAACAUGGUUAAAGGAAAUUAUAUCAUGCUUUUGGAAAUCACUCUUGUAAUUUAUGACAUUUUCAUUCUGAGAUUAAUGCUUGAGAGCUCUCAUUAAGACGAUUAUGCAAAAGUCGAAACACAAGCGAUCAGACCAACAUCAACUCUUCACCAUUCAGUUUGUACCGCAGGCUUUCUCUUAUUCAUGUGUAGUCCGAGAUAAUGCUGAUGCCAUCAUUUUAAUAACCCUGAUGACAUCAUCUUAAUAACCCUGAUGACAUCAUCUGGGUUUUUGCUCCCCCACAGCUACACAAGACCUUAUAGAACUCACAGGCGUUCCACUUUAAUGCGUAAUGUUUGCUAUAAAAGUACUGUAAAUAAAUGCUCCUCUAUAAAUGUAACUGUAUUUUAUAUGAAAUGAUUGCAUUAAAUAACUGAUUGUUGUGUUACUGUAAACAAUUAUGUAACUAUUAUAAAAAAACUUGGAACAAAUAAAAACGGAGGCAGGCCUCUCUCUGAUGUUUAC
Cottoperca gobio is the source of this 5608-nucleotide long non-coding RNA. Ensembl lists it as uncharacterized. Lineage: Eukaryota; Metazoa; Chordata; Actinopteri; Perciformes; Bovichtidae. The record is from Ensembl.